GAGUAUUUUAUGGAGCUAGUGGUGCAGUAAGCAUAUAUAAAUCUGUAGUAGCUGCAAUGCAAUGGUCCGCUUCUCGAAUGAAACUUCAAAGUGGAAACGAUAGUAUUGAAGCUGGUUGGAUGGUAAAUCCACCUCUAUACAGCAACUCUGAUCCCCAUCUUUAUGCAAAAUUCACUGCUGGGCCAAAAGAAUGCUUAAAUUUACAAUGUCCGGGAUUUGUUCAAGUGUCCAAAAACUUUCCUUUAGGCGCUACGCCUGAUCACUAUACUCACAUAGGUGAUGACACAAUAUAUUAUUAGAACAUAUCUAUCAACAAGCAUCCUGAUGACGAAAAUUGGUGGUUGUCAAUUUAUAUGGAUUCGAGUAACAUUCCCGUCGGAUAUUGGCCGAAAAGCUUGUUUACAUCAUUGGCAGAUUUGGCUGCUCAAGUUGAAUGGGGAGGCGAAAUCAACAAUCCUGGUUAUAAAACUCCAGAUCCUGACAUGGGUAGUGGUAUAAAGGCAAAAGAUGACAUUGAUAAAUGUGCAGUGUUCUUCGGUCUUAGAGUUGAUAAAGGAACAUUAAUCCCAGAAGAUACAGAAAUAUAUGAAGAAUGUAAAGAUUAUACAGUCUAUGAUGCUGGAACUCGAGAUGAUUGGGGUCGUUUAUUUUUUUAUGGAGGUCCAAAUGAAUAAUAAUUUUUGAGUAAUUAUUGCUCCAAAUAAGUGGAACUAGUAUCUAUCUUCAUGUAAUUUGCAGCAAACUUUAUACUUGCCUUAAAGCGCUUUAAUAUGUUUUUAUUUAUUUAUUUAUUUAUUUUUUAUUUAUU
Long non-coding RNA from Chenopodium quinoa (quinoa), 808 nucleotides. RefSeq lists it as uncharacterized. The transcript has 4 exons. The record is from RefSeq and is a predicted model, not a curated record. Lineage: Eukaryota; Viridiplantae; Streptophyta; Magnoliopsida; Caryophyllales; Amaranthaceae.